Molecule: unclassified non-coding RNA, 217 nt
Filed under: uncultured fungus
Lineage: Eukaryota; Fungi
Description: sequence contains ITS1, 5.8S rRNA gene
Rfam family: 5.8S ribosomal RNA (bases 169-217)
Source: RNAcentral
UUUCCGUAGGUGAACCUGCGGAAGGAUCAUUAUCAAACAGCGGACUUCGGUCCUUGCUGCACCCUUGUCUUUUGCGCACCGUUUGUUUCCUCGGCGGGCUUGCCUGCCGGCUGGACAAUAUCAAACCAUUUGUAGUUGCAGUCAGCGUCAGAAAAUAACAAUCGUUACAACUUUCAACAACGGAUCUCUUGGUUCUGGCAUCGAUGAAGAACGCAGC